Molecule: ribosomal RNA, 406 nt
Filed under: uncultured Eubacteriales bacterium
Lineage: Bacteria; Bacillati; Bacillota; Clostridia; Eubacteriales
Description: bacterial SSU rRNA
Rfam family: Bacterial small subunit ribosomal RNA
Source: RNAcentral
UUGCACAAGNCGGUGGAGCAUGUGGUUUAAUUCGAAGCAACGCGAAGAACCUUACCAAAUCUUGACAUCCCGAUGACAAGCUGUGUAAAGCAGCCUCUCUUCGGAGCAUCGGUGACAGGUGGUGCAUGGUUGUCGUCAGCUCGUGUCGUGAGAUGUUGGGUUAAGUCCCGCAACGAGCGCAACCCUUGUCUUUAGUAGCCAGCAUUUAGGAUGGGCACUCUAGAGAGACUGCCAGGGAUAACCUGGAGGAAGGUGGGGAUGACGUCAAAUCAUCAUGCCCCUUAUGAUUUGGGCUACACACGUGCUACAAUGGCGUAAACAAAGAGAAGCGAGGGAGUGAUCCGGAGCAAAUCUCAAAAAUAACGUCUCAGUUCGGAUUGUAGUCUGCAACUCGACUACANGAAGC